Gasterosteus aculeatus aculeatus (three-spined stickleback) is the source of this 2084-nucleotide long non-coding RNA. RefSeq lists it as uncharacterized. NCBI's taxonomy places the organism in Eukaryota, Metazoa, Chordata, Actinopteri, Perciformes, Gasterosteidae. The record is from RefSeq and is a predicted model, not a curated record.
GUUGGAGCCAGGCCGGUCUUCUGAGAGACCAGCCUGCAUCAGGCCAGGCCGGGAUGGCCAGAGAAGAAGCUAUGGUGUUUGCUAUGUGUGGUUUCACAUGUCUCACUGCGCUGGCAUGGCCAACAGGCCUCACGGCAGAUGGGUUGGUUCUACUGAAGCCUACGAGACUUCGAAGAGGUCAAUCAGCAGCUCAACUCAUCGACCCUAAACACAGCCUUGGCCUUUGAGCCGUACCGCACCUUGGCAACCAGCGCCGCUGCUGAGCGGCAGCAGCACAACAUCUUGUUCUCGCCAUUGGGCUUAGCGUCAGCUCUGGCGCUGCUGUCCCGGGUUUGUGGUUCCGAGAGUCGGAACCAGACCCUGGAGGCCCUGGGGCUGGCGGCCAAUACUACAGAGGAGAGUGUGGAGGCCACCUUAUCUGCUCUUGCAGAUAUGCAACUCAGCCUGUCUCUACGCGGGGGGGGUGUAGGGUCCAAAGGGUAGAAUCUGGAACUGGAACAGGAGCUGGCAUUGGGGCACCAGCAAGGGUGGAAUUUGUAGGGGAUGAUGCUGCAAACCAAACUGAUGUAGAUGAUUGGGCGGAGGGUAAGGAUGGAACUCGGGGUGGUGUUCAUGCUGGCAGUCAGCUGGAGUUUUGAGCAGCCUACAUGUGGAUGGAAGACCAUCCCUAGACUAUGACAGUUUCAUGCUCAGGCCUUGGCACAACAGCUUUGACUCGUUGAUGACUUGGAAGCCUCUGACAAACUUGAACUUACCAAUUAUGUGUAUUUCAAAAGGUAGCUUCUUCAUAGUUAAUGGCUGAUGUUAUUUUCAGCUUUUGUAUAUGCAUAAUGUAUAUUAAUGGUGUGAACAAUCAGACCGAUUUGUAAAGACCUUCAAAAACAUGUUAAUAAGCUUGAAAUCAGAAUGAACCGCUGCUAAAUUUGUAAAAGUAAAAUCAGAACACUUUCAAAAUGUGCUCUCUGUGUCAAGACAAUUGCAGCCACUACAGAGCAUCAGUCAUUGUUGUCUACGUGGAGCAGAUGCUCUCAGCCAGUCAACAGUGGUGCUUUAUACAGGCAUGCAACUUUUCCCUCUUACAAUUUGUUUUUCCUAUUUCAUAACGUUCUCUUUGUCACUGCUGCGUGAAUCAGGCCGUCAACCAUUUGAGCGGCGCCACACGGUGCCAAGGAGCUUCCAGCCCAACGCCACCACCACCAGCGUGGAGGUGGCCAUGAUGUUCUAAGGUGAUGAUGCUGUACGACACGGUGGUGCGUCUGGCCCACUCCGAGCGAACUGGCCUCGCCGCUCCUGCUCCCUACAGCUGAGCCGCAGCCCCUGGAGCCUCUCCGACGGACGCAUGGCGCCGCAACCUGAAGCAGUGCAGCGACGAGGAGACUGCAACCUUCCUCAAAUGCGUUCAUGAAACAAACGCAACGUUUCCCACAUCAUUUUCAUCCAUUCAAGGCGGGCAGAAAUCCGUUUCCCUAAGUUCCAACUAAGGAAAUCCUACAGUUUAGACAGGAGGCCUCCUGAGGAACUCUGGGGUGUCAUCGGUUUUCUCGCACUCAGCCGACUUAUCUGGAAUAUCGCAGGAGACUCUGAAACUCGCCAAGGCUCCUCGUGAGGUCAUGCCCGAGGUGGAGGAGAUCCAGUAUGAAGAUGGGGGAGACCUGACAGUUCACCGGACUUCUCUGUUCCCUCGAGGAUCACCUUUAACAGGCCGUUCAUGCUCAUAACCUACGGCCAUCUCACGGGGAGAAUUAUUGAUCCUACAAAUGUCUACAGCGGGGUGAACAGCGUAGCUUUAUUGGGCUUUGCUAUUGAUAUAACACUGCGUUCACUUAUAUUACUCGAUUUGUUUUUCCCCCCCAACAGAAUGGUGUAUCAUUCUGGGGAAAAACAUUUUCCUGCAAUUAUAUCAGCAUGCAGAGUGCUUUGUUUUACCUUCAAUUUUCCAAACCAUUACAGCCUGAUUUACAGUUUCUUUCCCCCCUAUUUGCACAAAAUUAUGAAAAGAAAUUCAAAUUGAAGUAAUUUAUCUGUAUGACUGAAUCGCUUUCUACUCUUGCAAAAGCAUAAAACCCUUUUCUUCCAUUACAAAA